This 253-nucleotide ribosomal RNA is filed under the name uncultured bacterium. Its description in RNAcentral is "partial 16S ribosomal RNA". It matches the Rfam family "Bacterial small subunit ribosomal RNA", at positions 524 to 776 of the family's 1533-position model. The record is from RNAcentral.
UACGUAGGGGGCAAGCGUUGUCCGGAAUCAUUGGGCGUAAAGAGCGUGUAGGUGGCCAGAUAAGUCCGCUGUGAAAUCUCGAGGCUCAACUUCGAGCUGUCGGUGGAAACUGUCUGGCUAGAGUCCGGAAGAGGAGAAUGGAAUUCCUGGUGUAGCGGUGAAAUGCGCAGAUAUCAGGAAGAACACCCGUGGCGAAGGCGGUUCUCUGGGACGGUACUGACGCUGAGACGCGAAAGCGUGGGGAGCAAACAGG